This is a long non-coding RNA of Hemicordylus capensis (graceful crag lizard), 965 nucleotides long. RefSeq lists it as uncharacterized. The transcript has 5 exons. The record is from RefSeq and is a predicted model, not a curated record. Lineage: Eukaryota; Metazoa; Chordata; Lepidosauria; Squamata; Cordylidae.
UGAAGCAGAAAAAUCAAUCACCCCAUUGGCAUUUUCCAUAUGUGGCAUAUCACCAGAUCUGGCAACAAGAAAAUAUCAUCAGCAACAGAGAAAAUAAGCCCAGCGGAAAACACCAGCAGCUGAGCCAUUUCUCCAUAACAGAGGGCAGAGGAGGAGAAGGACAUUCUGCAGAAUUCACAGAAGCCACAGAGCCCCUCUGGAAUGCUGCCUUCAUAUUUGAUAUGGUAGAAUGAAGAACGGCACUUCUAUGGACAAGUAUUCUGGAAAUUUCUCUAGUUUAUUCCUUCAUCUGGCAUCCCAAGAACAAUGCCAAAAGCCUGAAAUGUCUGGUGAAACCCUAAAACCUGGCAGCCCUGGGCCUGGGUCACACAUGCAGUUAUCACCUGGAGAUUGAAGCAGAUGCCUGGAGACUCCUGAAAGGUUGGCAAACCUACUCCCUUGUCAGCAGGAGGUGCUGGGGGAAAUAACAUUUGCUGCUCUGUCUGAGUAAAUGGGACACUACAGGACACUCAGGAAUUGAUCACAAGCAAACAGCUCAUUUAGGGAUUAAUGGAUUUCAUGUUCUAGGAGAAGGGCUAGACCCUGUUAGCUGCUAAUUAUGAGCCAGCCCAGUAAUGUCGAUACAAUAAGACAUGUCAAGACACUGAUUAAUGAGUCGGCUGGGACAUCAAUUUGUUCUCCUCUGUCUCUGACCACGGGUCAUUAAUGGACUUCUUCAAUACAUAUGUACUUGAAGAAAGAAUGGGCAUCCUUCAUUAACCAUGUGGCUUUGAUAGAAGGAAAUGUUUCAUGUGCCAUGUGAGUAUUUUGGGAAGAUAAUCCGGAAUAAAUGAAUAUGUGUGUUACGCAAUGCUUUUAAUUUUGUGUUUAUGUUGCUGUUUUCUUGCCUUGAGCACAUUUUCUGACUAACUCCAUGCUAGAGCAAUGAACAUAACUGCACACACACAGGAAGGUUGCAUAGCUGU